This 253-nucleotide ribosomal RNA is filed under the name uncultured bacterium. Its description in RNAcentral is "partial 16S ribosomal RNA". It matches the Rfam family "Bacterial small subunit ribosomal RNA", at positions 524 to 776 of the family's 1533-position model. The record is from RNAcentral.
GACAGAGGCCUCGAGCGUUAGGCGGAAUCACUGGGCUUAAAGCGUGUGUAGGUGGAUGCCUCAGUGCCUUGUGAAAUCCCACGGCUCAACCGUGGAACGGCUUGGCAUACUGGGCGUCUUGAGCCAGCUAGGGGCGACUGGAACAAACGGUGGAGCGGUGAAAUGCGUAGAUAUCGUUUGGAACGCCAACGGUGAAAACAGGUCGCUGGGGCUGUGCUGACACUGAGACACGAAAGCCAGGGGAGCAAACGGG